GACGAACGCUGGCGGCGUGCUUAACACAUGCAAGUCGAACGUGAUUUUUGUGGAAAUUCUUUCGGGAAUGGAAAUGAAAUGAAAGUGGCGAACGGGUGAGUAACACGUGAGCAACCUACCUUACACAGGGGGAUAGCCGCUGGAAACGACGAUUAAUACCGCAUGAGACUACAGAAUCGCAUGAUAUAGGGGUCAAAGAUUUAUCGGUGUAAGAAGGGCUCGCGUCUGAUUAGCUAGUUGGAAGGGUAAAGGCCUACCAAGGCGACGAUCAGUAGCCGGUCUGAGAGGAUGAACGGCCACAUUGGAGCUGAGACACGGUCCAAACUCCUACGGGAGGCAGCAGUGGGGAAUAUUGCACAAUGGGGGGAACCCUGAUGCAGCGACGCCGCGUGAGCGAGGAAGGUUUUCGAAUCGUAAAGCUCUGUCCUAUGAGAAGAUAAUGACGGUAUCAUAGGAGGAAGCCCCGGCUAAAUACGUG
This 478-nucleotide ribosomal RNA is filed under the name uncultured bacterium. RNAcentral describes it as "partial 16S ribosomal RNA". It matches the Rfam family "Bacterial small subunit ribosomal RNA", at positions 28 to 507 of the family's 1533-position model. The record is from RNAcentral.